GAACUUAAGCAUAUCAAUAAGCGGAGGAAAAGAAACUAACAAGGAUUCCCCUAGUAACUGCGAGUGAAGCGGGAAAAGCUCAAAUUUAAAAUCUGGCGUGCCUCUGGUCGUCCGAGUUGUAGUUUAGAGAAGCGUUUUCUGUGUUGGACCGUGUAUAAGUCUCUUGGAACAGGGCGUCAUAGAGGGUGAGAAUCCCGUCUUUGACACGGACUACCAAUGCUUUGUGAUACGCUCUCAAAGAGUCGAGUUGUUUGGGAAUGCAGCUCAAAAUGGGUGGUAAAUUCCAUCUAAAGCUAAAUAUAGGCGAGAGACCGAUAGCGAACAAGUACCGUGAGGGAAAGAUGAAAAGCACUUUGGAAAGAGAGUUAAACAGUACGUGAAAUUGCUGAAAGGGAAACGCUUGAAGUCAGUCACGUCUGCCAGGACUCAGCCUUGCUUCUGCUUGGUGUACUUUCUGGUUGGAUGGGCCAACAUCGAUUUCGACCGUUGGAGAAAGGCUUUGGGAAUGUGGCACCUUUGGGUGUGUUAUAGCCCUUUGUUGUAUACAAUGGUUGGGAUCGAGGACUGCAGCAUGCCUUCAUGGCCGGGGUUCGCCCACGUACAUGCUUAGGAUGUUGGCAUAAUGGCUUUAAGCGACCCGUCUUGAAACACGGACCAAGGAGUCUAACAUGCCUGCGAGUGUUUGGGUGGAAAACCCAUGCGCGUAAUGAAAGUGAUAGCUGAGAUCCUCUCAUCAGGAGCAUCAGCGCCUGGACUUGAUCUACGGAGACGGUUCUACGGUAGAGCAUGUAUGUUGGGACCCGAAA
This 806-nucleotide ribosomal RNA is filed under the name uncultured fungus. Its description in RNAcentral is "eukaryotic LSU rRNA". It matches the Rfam family "Eukaryotic large subunit ribosomal RNA", at positions 30 to 821 of the family's 3401-position model. Lineage: Eukaryota; Fungi. The record is from RNAcentral.